RNAcentral lists this ribosomal RNA (398 nucleotides) under uncultured bacterium. RNAcentral describes it as "partial 16S ribosomal RNA". It matches the Rfam family "Bacterial small subunit ribosomal RNA", at positions 523 to 918 of the family's 1533-position model. The record is from RNAcentral.
AUACGUAGGGUGCGAGCGUUGUCCGGAAUUACUGGGCGUAAAGAGCUCGUAGGUGGUUUGUCGCGUCGUCUGUGAAAUUCCGGGGCUUAACUCCGGGCGUGCAGGCGAUACGGGCAUAACUUGAGUACUGUAGGGGAGACUGGAAUUCCUGGUGUAGCGGUGAAAUGCGCAGAUAUCAGGAGGAACACCGGUGGCGAAGGCGGGUCUCUGGGCAGUAACGGACGCUGAGGAGCGAAAGCAUGGGUAGCGAACAGGAUUAGAUGCCCUGGUAGUCCAUGCCGUAAACGGUGGGCGCUAGGUGUAGGGGUCUUCCACGACUUCUGUGCCGUAGCUAACGCAUUAAGCGCCCCGCCUGGGGAGUACGGCCGCAAGGCUAAAACUCAAAUGAAUUGACGGGG